Molecule: ribosomal RNA, 451 nt
Filed under: uncultured bacterium
Lineage: Bacteria
Description: bacterial SSU rRNA
Rfam family: Bacterial small subunit ribosomal RNA
Source: RNAcentral
GUGGGGAAUAUUGGACAAUGGGGGGAACCCUGAUCCAGCCAUGCCGCGUGUGUGAAGAAGGCCUUUUGGUUGUAAAGCACUUUAAGCGAGGAGGAGGCUUACCUGGUUAAUACCUAGGAUAAGUGGACGUUACUCGCAGAAUAAGCACCGGCUAACUCUGUGCCAGCAGCCGCGGUAAUACAGAGGGUGCGAGCGUUAAUCGGAUUUACUGGGCGUAAAGCGCGCGUAGGUGGCCAAUUAAGUCAAAUGUGAAAUCCCCGAGCUUAACUUGGGAAUUGCAUUCGAUACUGGUUGGCUAGAGUAUGGGAGAGGAUGGUAGAAUUCCAGGUGUAGCGGUGAAAUGCGUAGAGAUCUGGAGGAAUACCGAUGGCGAAGGCAGCCAUCUGGCCUAAUACUGACACUGAGGUGCGAAAGCAUGGGGAGCAAACAGGAUUAGAUACCCCAGUAGUCC